AUAGAUUCAUAUUCGACCAUAAUUAUUUAUUUCAACAUUUCUCUGCACUACCAGACUUUGGGUUCCCUGCAACUAAAAAUAUUGCUUGGACCUCAUGCUGUACCUGAAUACCUGAGAGGAAACAAAUUCUACCAGUUGCUGUUGGAAGAAAAAGAUCUUUUUCAUUCUUGGAUGCUUUAUAUUUGGACAGAGAAAGAAUCAGAAUCCGUCCUUCUUUUUCCUAACUGGAAUUUGAGAGACAUGAGAAGGGACCUAAACACGCAGCCUUCAGUAUCUGGUGGAAAGAGAUAAGGUGUCUCAAGGAACGUUGGCCUCAUCAAGAGAUACUACUCCUGAUCUUUUCAUUUUACUUUCCUCGGGUCUGCCUAAACUCAGUGUCUCUCCUAGAAAACCAGCCAACUCACGAAAAACUGUUUGUAAGAAAAUGUUCUCAACACAAAGAAAUAAUAAAGGUUUGAGAUGAUAAAUAUGCUAA
This 475-nucleotide long non-coding RNA is filed under the name Pongo abelii (Sumatran orangutan). Its description in RNAcentral is "lincRNA". The record is from RNAcentral. Lineage: Eukaryota; Metazoa; Chordata; Mammalia; Primates; Hominidae.